Molecule: long non-coding RNA, 623 nt
Filed under: Arachis ipaensis
Lineage: Eukaryota; Viridiplantae; Streptophyta; Magnoliopsida; Fabales; Fabaceae
Description: long non-coding RNA (AIPA_LNC002527)
Source: RNAcentral
ACGGGAAAAAUAAUAAAAGCAUUCCACUAUAAGAAAUCAAGAAUCCACAGUACAAUCUUUACAAUACACGGUGAAAACAGAAAAGAGAAAACGGUUAUGGUUGUAGGCAAAUCUUCCUCCAUGAUGCCGCUCCGAUUAAAUACCUGAAACAUCCUAUACACACGAACACAACAUACAUCCACUCUACUUGAAAACAUUGGAAUCAGAGGUAAUGUAAAGCAAUAACUUGGACGCAUUUUAUUAGGUAAGAACAUGAUCCAAAUAGCAACUCAGGUCAAAACAGCAGAUUUCAAGUUCAGCGUGCAAGAAUAUAUACCAUUUGAAUAGAUCAGCAUGCGUAUACACGAGGAUGACAAAAUAAUGGAGUUAUGCGAACACAUACACCAAAGCGGCUAAGCAACAGAACUGAACCAUCAAUAAUCUUCGAUAAUGUCGCAUCCGUUAUUGCAAAAUCCACCUUCAAAAGGUCACCAAGCAUUCCAGAAAGCAAAGUCUUAUAUCAACUAGCGCACACCCCGUAAAAGAAACUGUACAAGAUGUCUCUGGUACGGAUUGAGAGAUGGAUCGGGAACCUGCGGGUCAAGGCGGAUGCCGGAUCACUUGACUGGGGCGAUGGGGGUGGU